UAGUCCACGCAGUAAACGAUGAGGGCUAGUUGUCUGCAAGCAUGCUUGUAGGUGACACAGCUAACGCAUUAAGCUCUCCGCCUGGGGAGUACGGUCGCAAGAUUAAAACUCAAAGAAAUUGACGGGGGCCCGCACAGGCGGUGGAGCAUGUGGUUUAAUUCGAAGCAACGCGCAGAACCUUACCUACCCUUGACAUGCCGGUCGCGAUUUCCAGAGAUGGAUUUCUUCAAUUCGGUUGGACCGUGCACAGGUGCUGCAUGGCCGUCGUCAGCUCGUGUCGUGAGAUGUUGGGUUAAGUCCCGCAACGAGCGCAACCCUCACUUUUAGUUGCCAGCAUUUAAGGUGGGGACUCUAGUAAAACUGCCGGCGCAAGCCGUGAGGAAGGGGGGAUGACGCCAAAUCAUCAUGGCCUUUAUGCCUAGGGCUACACACGUGCUACAAUGGGUGAGACAAUGGGUCGCUAACCUGCAAAGGGGUGCUAAUCUCAAAAACUCAUUCCC
This 500-nucleotide ribosomal RNA is filed under the name uncultured bacterium. RNAcentral's name for it is "bacterial SSU rRNA". It matches the Rfam family "Bacterial small subunit ribosomal RNA", at positions 791 to 1289 of the family's 1533-position model. The record is from RNAcentral.